RNAcentral lists this ribosomal RNA (2908 nucleotides) under Serratia marcescens. RNAcentral's name for it is "23S ribosomal RNA". It matches the Rfam family "Bacterial large subunit ribosomal RNA". The record is from RNAcentral. RNAcentral also lists the same sequence under 2 other names. Lineage: Bacteria; Pseudomonadati; Pseudomonadota; Gammaproteobacteria; Enterobacterales; Yersiniaceae.
GGUUAAGUGACUAAGCGUACACGGUGGAUGCCUAGGCAGUCAGAGGCGAUGAAGGGCGUGCUAAUCUGCGAAAAGCGUCGGUAAGGUGAUAUGAACCGUUAUAACCGGCGAUACCCGAAUGGGGAAACCCAGUGUGUUUCGACACACUAUCAUGUCAUGAAUACAUAGUGGCAUGAGGCGAACCGGGGGAACUGAAACAUCUAAGUACCCCGAGGAAAAGAAAUCAACCGAGAUUCCCCCAGUAGCGGCGAGCGAACGGGGAGGAGCCCAGAACCUGAAUCGGCUUGUGUGUUAGUGGAAGCGUCUGGAAAGUCGCGCAGCAAAGGGUGAUAGCCCCGUACACUAAAAUGCACAGGUCGUGAGUUCGAUGAGUAGGGCGGGACACGUGACAUCCUGUCUGAAUAUGGGGGGACCAUCCUCCAAGGCUAAAUACUCCUGACUGACCGAUAGUGAACCAGUACCGUGAGGGAAAGGCGAAAAGAACCCCGGCGAGGGGAGUGAAAUAGAACCUGAAACCGUGUACGUACAAGCAGUGGGAGCACCUUCGUGGUGUGACUGCGUACCUUUUGUAUAAUGGGUCAGCGACUUAUAUUUUGUAGCAAGGUUAACCGUAUAGGGGAGCCGUAGGGAAACCGAGUCUUAACUGGGCGAAUAGUUGCAAGGUAUAGACCCGAAACCCGGUGAUCUAGCCAUGGGCAGGUUGAAGGUUGGGUAACACUAACUGGAGGACCGAACCGACUAAUGUUGAAAAAUUAGCGGAUGACUUGUGGCUGGGGGUGAAAGGCCAAUCAAACCGGGAGAUAGCUGGUUCUCCCCGAAAGCUAUUUAGGUAGCGCCUCGUGAACUCAUCUUCGGGGGUAGAGCACUGUUUCGGCUAGGGGGCCAUCCCGGCUUACCAAACCGAUGCAAACUCCGAAUACCGAAGAAUGUUAUCACGGGAGACACACGGCGGGUGCUAACGUCCGUCGUGAAGAGGGAAACAACCCAGACCGCCAGCUAAGGUCCCAAAGUCAUGGUUAAGUGGGAAACGAUGUGGGAAGGCACAGACAGCCAGGAUGUUGGCUUAGAAGCAGCCAUCAUUUAAAGAAAGCGUAAUAGCUCACUGGUCGAGUCGGCCUGCGCGGAAGAUGUAACGGGGCUAAACCAUGCACCGAAGCUGCGGCAGCGACGCUUAGGCGUUGUUGGGUAGGGGAGCGUUCUGUAAGCCGUUGAAGGUGGCCUGUGAGGGUUGCUGGAGGUAUCAGAAGUGCGAAUGCUGACAUAAGUAACGAUAAAGCGGGUGAAAAGCCCGCUCGCCGGAAGACCAAGGGUUCCUGUCCAACGUUAAUCGGGGCAGGGUGAGUCGACCCCUAAGGCGAGGCUGAAAAGCGUAGUCGAUGGGAAACAGGUUAAUAUUCCUGUACUUGGUGUUACUGCGAAGGGGGGACGGAGAAGGCUAGGCUAGCCGGGCGACGGUUGUCCCGGUUUAAGCGUGUAGGGGGUGUGACCUGGUAAAUCCGGUUACAUACUAACCCUGAGGCGUGAUGACGAUGCACUACGGUGCAGAAGUAGUUGAUGCCCUGCUUCCAGGAAAAGCCUCUAAGCAUCAGGUAACAUUGAAUCGUACCCCAAACCGACACAGGUGGUCAGGUAGAGAAUACCAAGGCGCUUGAGAGAACUCGGGUGAAGGAACUAGGCAAAAUGGUGCCGUAACUUCGGGAGAAGGCACGCUGGCAUGUAGGUGAAGUCCCUCGCGGAUGGAGCUGAAGCCAGUCGAAGAUACCAGCUGGCUGCAACUGUUUAAUAAAAACACAGCACUGUGCAAACACGAAAGUGGACGUAUACGGUGUGACGCCUGCCCGGUGCUGGAAGGUUAAUUGAUGGGGUCAGCCGCAAGGCGAAGCUCUUGAUCGAAGCCCCAGUAAACGGCGGCCGUAACUAUAACGGUCCUAAGGUAGCGAAAUUCCUUGUCGGGUAAGUUCCGACCUGCACGAAUGGCGUAAUGAUGGCCAGGCUGUCUCCACCCGAGACUCAGUGAAAUUGAACUCGCUGUGAAGAUGCAGUGUACCCGCGGCAAGACGGAAAGACCCCGUGAACCUUUACUAUAGCUUGACACUGAACAUUGAGCCUUGAUGUGUAGGAUAGGUGGGAGGCUUUGAAGCGUGGACGCCAGUCUGCGUGGAGCCAUCCUUGAAAUACCACCCUUUAAUGUUUGAUGUUCUAACUCGGCCCCGUGAUCCGGGGUGAGGACAGUGUCUGGUGGGUAGUUUGACUGGGGCGGUCUCCUCCCAAAGAGUAACGGAGGAGCACGAAGGUUAGCUAAUCACGGUCGGACAUCGUGAGGUUAGUGCAAAGGCAUAAGCUAGCUUGACUGCGAGAGUGACGGCUCGAGCAGGUACGAAAGUAGGUCUUAGUGAUCCGGUGGUUCUGAAUGGAAGGGCCAUCGCUCAACGGAUAAAAGGUACUCCGGGGAUAACAGGCUGAUACCGCCCAAGAGUUCAUAUCGACGGCGGUGUUUGGCACCUCGAUGUCGGCUCAUCACAUCCUGGGGCUGAAGUAGGUCCCAAGGGUAUGGCUGUUCGCCAUUUAAAGUGGUACGCGAGCUGGGUUUAGAACGUCGUGAGACAGUUCGGUCCCUAUCUGCCGUGGGCGUUGGAAGAUUGAGAGGGGUUGCUCCUAGUACGAGAGGACCGGAGUGAACGCACCACUGGUGUUCGGGUUGUCAUGCCAAUGGCAUUGCCCGGUAGCUAAGUGCGGAAAAGAUAAGCGCUGAAAGCAUCUAAGCGCGAAACUUGCCUCAAGAUGAGUCUUCCCUGGGACUUUAAGUCCCCUGAAGGAACGUUUAAGACUAAGACGUUGAUAGGCUGGGUGUGUAAGUGCAGCGAUGCAUUGAGCUAACCAGUACUAAUGAUCCGUGAGGCUUAACCUU